This is a non-coding RNA of Ictidomys tridecemlineatus (thirteen-lined ground squirrel), 1078 nucleotides long. The record is from RefSeq and is a predicted model, not a curated record. NCBI's taxonomy places the organism in Eukaryota, Metazoa, Chordata, Mammalia, Rodentia, Sciuridae.
AGAUCCUACAAAUAAUCUAGCUAUAUUGAUCCACCAAGCCCACAGGAGAGCUCCAUCAUCCUACAAAUAGUCUAGCUAUAUUAAUCCACCUGAGCCCCCCAGGAGAGCUUCGUCAACAAUUCUCCGAUAUAAAUCAUGGUGCAUGUUAUCAAAGGCGUGGCAAGUAUUUACUUGGCUUCAUUAAAUAGUUCAGAAGUGACCACCUUAAAAACCAAGUUGGAUGAAUUCAAUACAUUUUUGAAAGAUGCUGGACGUCAACUUGUGGUAGUUGAAUUUUCAGCAAACUGGUGUGGUUUCUGCAAAGAGAAGUGUUCUGUUUUUCAUGACAUGCCUCUACAAUACCAAAACGUAAGGUUUGCUAUCGUGGAUGUGGACGAUUCUCCGGAGUUGGCUGAUGCUUGUCACAUUAAAGCAGUGCCUACAUUUCAGAUAUUCAAGAAAAUCCAGAAGGAAACUGUAUUCUCAAGAAUCAAAGCAACACUUUGCUGUAAUACAAGUGAAUUCAUGGCUGAGCAGAUUUUUGAAUUUUAUGGAAUGAAUGUUAAAAGAUUGGAAGAGAAGAUUCAACAGUUCAUGUGAUAUCUGAGUGAGGCUCAGACACAGACUGGGCCAGACAAGAUGUCCAGGCCUGGAUGGAAGCUUGGAGCUUUCUACUCUAGAGAGCCGGGCUGCAGAAACAACAACAAUAAAGCAGGGAACUGUGAACCAGAACUGGCACUAGUAACGAUAAAGGAGAUCCAAGGACCUUGCUCCAGAGCUGACACAAGUCCCUGGCCCUCUGGGAAGAACCGUGAAAGCAUCUAUAAAGAAGAGGAACAAGGUGAUUGACUUCCAUGCCCAGAUGUGCAGAUGUCACAUGGAGUUCCCCGUGCAGCCCCAGGCAUUUUGUAUUAUCCACCUGCUGGAGCAAGCAGAUGUGCCCUUUUCUUCAUUGUUAUUUCCAUCCUGCUUUCCAUUUUAACCAGAAAACAGUGCAUACCUCAGAGCCCAAGGGCAUUCCCUGCAAACUCCAGGCUUCUUUAUCUCUCUCUCUCUCAGCAGCAAGGUUACCCUAUGACUUCCCCUGCCUAAAGGUGGA